Molecule: long non-coding RNA, 897 nt
Filed under: Mus spicilegus (steppe mouse)
Lineage: Eukaryota; Metazoa; Chordata; Mammalia; Rodentia; Muridae
Description: lncRNA (ENSMSIG00000016126.1)
Source: RNAcentral
GAGACAUAGCUGAAAGGAAGGGAUGAAGGGUGGAGAGAAAGAACACAGGAGGUCUCUUCUUGUGUGAGAUUUGAUGUGUACAUCAAGAGGGACAAGCGGUCACCAAUGGGGAACUCUAUGGAUAGAUUUGGAGUUUGUUAUAAAGAAAAAAUGUGCAAAGCAGACAGGUCACCUCCUCAUGGAACAAGGCUUGUAGUGACAGGAUUCAAGGCCUACCCUAAAUCUCGUAUGUGAUAACAUCCCAGGAUCCUUCAAGAUGCUCGUCUGUGAAGACUCGCUCAGGCUGGAUGUGAAUUCGAAGCACAUGACUUGGCUCAUUCCCCUCCAUUUGGAUCCGCUCCUGUUUCCUUCAGCCAUAACUGUUGAGCACGAGAGGUUGCGGUGGUUUCUUCCCCUGGACAGGUCUGUUGAACCCAGGCCCUCCUUGUCCUUGUGAGACUCCAUGUAAUUAACUACAGAGCUGUGCACUGUGGUCGUAUAGAGCUGGCUUUCCCAGUCAUAUGGCCUGCCUCAGCUGCCCACCCUAUCUGCAGGCCUAGGAUGUGGAAAGGCUUGGGAAGGGACUGACAGACAACUGACUGAAGGUUUGAAUGGUUAAUGUGAGCCACGCUGUCUGGGUGGCUCUACGGCAGAGUCGAGGUGAGUGUAAAGCCCAGAAGCUCAGAUGAAUAUGUAAGGAUUCUUUUAUACGUAGAGGUGGUCAGUGCUGCCGUUUGUAGAUUUACUCUAAGACCCAGAAGCCCGUGAGCUGCAACUAUUUCCCCCUCAGGAGUGAUCUUACUCUUGAUACUAUUUUGUAUGUGUGUAUGUGGUGUGUGUGGGUGUGGGUGUGUGUGUGUGUGUGUGUGUGUGUGUGUGUGUAUUAUGUACAUAGAUAUAUCCAUUCCACUGGUUCUG